RNAcentral lists this long non-coding RNA (2326 nucleotides) under Lucilia cuprina (Australian sheep blowfly). RNAcentral describes it as "uncharacterized LOC124421336". The record is from RNAcentral. Lineage: Eukaryota; Metazoa; Arthropoda; Insecta; Diptera; Calliphoridae.
CUUCGUCCUUGGGUCAAAUAAAACCAAAUUUCAUCCAAUUAUCUUGAAAGUUGCGACCUGGAAUAAUAUGCGUGUCAUAGUCACCAUAGUUUUUUUAUUCGGCUGUGCCCUUCGCCAAUUAUUUACAAAAAAUAAAAAAAUAUUUGUGUUGACGCCGUCAAAAGUUAUUUGUGUAUUGCGACCCCUACAAACUACACUGCAUAUGGUAAUCUGGCAUCACCAUAUGUAGUGUGGUGAGUAUGAGUUUGCUAAAAGAAACAUGGUUUGAUGUUUUUUUAUUCGCUCUUGGUUUUUCUCAAAUAGCAGCCGGACAAAAGAAAAAGAAAAUUUAAUAAUUUAUAAAAUAAAUGAAUAAAUCUAAUCAAAGUGUUUUAAAUUAAAUAAAAUAAAGAAAAAACCAACGGAACUAUCAUAAGGAAACAAAUAAAACCACAAAAAAUAAAAUAAAUACAGUGUUUUUUAUUAAAGUGAAAUAAGGGUGGUUUUUUGUUAAUUGUGUUUGCUGAGAGCACAGUGAUUCCUGACCUGCCGUAAUCUAAUAAGACAAGUGCCGGAGAUUGCGUGCCUUCUUUCUGUCAACCAGCUCCAACCAAACCAAACGGAUUAAGGUAACACCAGCUCCCGAUUUGGCCCCAAACAUUGGACCUUCUCCCGACAAGAAAGUGCUUAUUUAAUACAAAUUUUUGUUGCCCGUUAUGCAAUCGUUUUCAUGCGAUUCGCCAAUGCUCACGGUUUAUAGUGAUGACAGUCAAGAAGAAAUUGCGAGUCGUGUCUCAAUAUAACUUAUGUUAUAACUGUCUUGCCCAGUCUCACACCAGAACCGAGUGCGAAAAUAUCGCUCGAUGCCGCCGAUGUGGACAAGAUCACAACAGCUGGCUCCACCCGACUCCAGAAGGAUGUAUCUGGAUUGAAAUGACGGCCCAUGUCCGUAUAUCUACGCAGCUAGGCGGUGCCGAGCGCUGGACUCGUGCAGUGAUAGAUCCGACUAUUGCUAGAUCUUCCAUCACACUUAGCGAGGCCAAAAAGCUUGGCUGUAACAUAUACGGAGGUGGGACUACAAUUAGCGUGUUUCAUGGGAGCGAAAACCGACGUCGGAUAUUGGUGGAUUGCACUGUGGAAACCAAAAAAUAUGGUCGUAGCCCAAAAUUCUCCAUAGAAAGAUCAGACAGACGUGGUCCUGGCGAAAUGAGUACCUCAUUCGAUGCCAUCUCAUUUUAGGAGCAGAUGUCCAAAGCAAAAUUCUUCUUGGUCCAGCCUGCGGGCGCCCCGGCUCCCUUUACGUUCAGGAUACGAUAUUCGGAUUUACAUACUUUGGAGAAGGAGUUAAAGUGGCAGCCGAACCCACCACUUAUCAAUAUACUUGCAUUCUUUGCCGCCCUAAUAGAAGUUAAAUACUAAAAUUUUGUUGCCCUACCAGGCUUUGAAGUUAAUAGCUGGCUAUUAGCUAUUUUGUUAAUAAUAUAUUUCCUAUAUUUAUGUACAAUAUUAUUGAAGUAUUGAUCUCAUUUAUGAAUUUAAUGAAUUGAACCUUUUUUAUAACUAUUGUUGUUAAGAAUAUAAUACUAAUUUGAAUUUAAUUGUUUAUUUAUGAUUUAAUGAAUUUCAUUUAAUUCCAUUAAUAUAUAUGUAUUCCGAUUCCUUUUUUAAAUACGAAUUCUUAUUUUUAUUUUGAAAACUAAAAUUAAAUCUAACAUUUUAUAACUAGUUUGUAUUAUUGUCGCAAGCCCGGCGGUAUGUUGACGCCGUCAAAAGUUAUUUGUGUAUUGCGACCCCUACAAACUACACUGCAUAUGGUAAUCCGGCAUCACCAUAUGUAGUGUGGUGAGUAUGAGUUUGCUAAAAGAAACAUGGUUUGAUGUUUUUUUAUUCGCUCUUGGUUUUUCUCAAAUAGCAGCCGGACAAAAGAAAAAGAAAAUUUAAUAAUUUAUAAAAUAAAUGAAUAAAUCUAAUCAAAGUGUUUUAAAUUAAAUAAAAUAAAGAAAAAACAAACGGAACUAUCAUAAGGAAACAAAUAAAACCACAAAAAAUAAAAUAAAUACAGUGUUUUUUAUUAAAGUGAAAUAAGGGUGGUUUUUUUGUUAAUUGUGUUUGCUGAGAGCACAGUGAUUCCUGACCUGUCGUAAUCUAACAAGACAAGUGCCGGAGAUUGCGUGCCUUCUUUCUGUCAACCAGCUCCAACCAAACCAAACGGAUUAAGGUAACACCAGCUCCCGAUUUGGCCCCAAACAAUUUGAAAAUCAUGGUAACACUAAAAAGAGAAAAUUAUAAAAAUUAACAAAAACGUAGAGAAAAUAAAAUGAAUUUUAUUUUUGAUUGCCAACGCCAA